RNAcentral lists this ribosomal RNA (830 nucleotides) under Staurothele fissa. RNAcentral describes it as "SSU rRNA". It matches the Rfam family "Bacterial small subunit ribosomal RNA", at positions 357 to 1273 of the family's 1533-position model. The record is from RNAcentral. Lineage: Eukaryota; Fungi; Ascomycota; Eurotiomycetes; Verrucariales; Verrucariaceae.
GGGAAAAUUGGUCAAUGGCCAAACGGCUGAACCGGCACUUGGAAGAAUGUAAAAUGAUUAUGUUGUAUAAAGUUCUAGAUAGAAAACUGAUAAUGACAACUAUCUAUCUAUUAGUCUUGACCAAAUUACGUGCCAGCAGUCGCGGUAAUACGCAGAAGACAAGUGUUAUUCAUCUUUAUUCGGUUUAAAGGGUACCUAGACGGGAAAUCAAGCCAUAGUAGGGACUAAUUUUCUAGAGUUUUAUGGGGGAAAGUCGAAUAUUGUGAGGAGAGAUAAAAUAUGUUGAUACUAGAUGGACUGGUAACGGUGUAGACAACUUUCUAUGUAAAAACUGACGUUGAGGGACGAAGCCCCCCUAGUAGCAAGAAGGAUUAGAUACCCUAGUAGUUGGGGGAGACAAUGAUGAGUGUCAUAGGCUAGUAAUAUUAGUUUAUAAAUGAAAGUGCAAGCAUUCCACCUCAAGAAUAAAGCGGCAUCGCCCAAAUUGAAAUCAUUAGACCGUUCCUGAAACCAGUACUGAAGUAUGCCCCUUAAUUCGAUGAUCCACGAAUAACCUUACCACGUCUUGAAUAUUACUAGUGGUUGAUCCAAUUUAAUUUAAUAGUAAUACAAGCGCUGCACGGCUGUCUUUAGUUAAUGUCGUGAGAUUGUGGUUAAUUCCUUCAAUUAACGAAAACCCUUAUAUUAUAUCUAUAUAUAAUAUAGUUCUCUACUAGAUCGGAUAAGAUAACAGGGAUUAAGGCAAGUCAUCAUGGCCAAAAUGACGUGGGCUUGAGAUGUGCCACAUAUACCUUCACAAAGGGAUGCGAUAUUGUGAAAUGGAGCUAAUC